RNAcentral lists this ribosomal RNA (246 nucleotides) under uncultured Actinomycetales bacterium. RNAcentral describes it as "partial 16S ribosomal RNA". It matches the Rfam family "Bacterial small subunit ribosomal RNA", at positions 86 to 334 of the family's 1533-position model. The record is from RNAcentral. Lineage: Bacteria; Bacillati; Actinomycetota; Actinomycetes; Actinomycetales.
AGUACUCGAGUGGCGAACGGGUGAGUAACACGUGGGUAAUCUGCCCUGCACUCUGGGAUAAGCUUGGGAAACUGGGUCUAAUACUGGAUAUGACCUUUCUCCUUAUGGGGUUUGGUGGAAAGUUUUUCGGUGUAGGAUGAGCCCGCGGCCUAUCAGCUUGUUGGUGGGGUGAUGGCCUACCAAGGCGACGACGGGUAGCCGGCCUGAGAGGGUGAUCGGCCACAUUGGGACUGAGAUACGGCCCAG